RNAcentral lists this ribosomal RNA (236 nucleotides) under uncultured Staphylococcus sp. Its description in RNAcentral is "partial 16S ribosomal RNA". It matches the Rfam family "Bacterial small subunit ribosomal RNA", at positions 104 to 334 of the family's 1533-position model. Lineage: Bacteria; Bacillati; Bacillota; Bacilli; Caryophanales; Staphylococcaceae. The record is from RNAcentral.
GGGUGAGUAACACGUGGAUAACCUACCUAUAAGACUGGGAUAACUUCGGGAAACCGGAGCUAAUACCGGAUAAUAUAUUGAACCGCAUGGUUCAAUAGUGAAAGACGGUUUUGCUGUCACUUAUAGAUGGAUCCGCGCCGCAUUAGCUAGUUGGUAAGGUAACGGCUUACCAAGGCAACGAUGCGUAGCCGACCUGAGAGGGUGAUCGGCCAUACUGGAACUGAGACACGGUCCAG